GGUCCCUUGGCCCAGUUGGUUAAGGCAUCGUGCUAAUAAUGCGGGGAUCAGCAGUUUGAUCCUGCUAGGGACCA
Molecule: non-coding RNA, 74 nt
Organism: Babjeviella inositovora NRRL Y-12698
Lineage: Eukaryota; Fungi; Ascomycota; Pichiomycetes; Serinales
Source: Rfam